ACGCUCGACACCUACUGGAGGCAGCAGUGGGGAAUAUUGGGCAAUGGAGGCAACUCUGACCCAGCAACGCCGCGUGAAUGAUGAAGGUCUUCGGAUUGUAAAGUUCUGUGACGGGGGACGAACACAAUGACGGUACCCCGAUAGCAAGCCACGGCUAACUACGUGCCUGCAGCCGCGGUAAUCUGAGCGGGCUGGCAAGGC
RNAcentral lists this ribosomal RNA (201 nucleotides) under uncultured bacterium. RNAcentral describes it as "partial 16S ribosomal RNA". It matches the Rfam family "Bacterial small subunit ribosomal RNA", at positions 328 to 539 of the family's 1533-position model. The record is from RNAcentral.